This 455-nucleotide ribosomal RNA is filed under the name uncultured anaerobic ammonium-oxidizing bacterium. RNAcentral describes it as "bacterial SSU rRNA". It matches the Rfam family "Bacterial small subunit ribosomal RNA", at positions 381 to 826 of the family's 1533-position model. The record is from RNAcentral.
GGGUGACGAAGCGACGCCGCGUGGGUGAGGAAGGCCCUCGGGUUGUAAAGCCCUGUCAGGAGUUAAGAAAUGUAAGUGCGCUAAUAUCGCAUUUAUUUGACGAAGGCUCCAAAGGAAGCCACGGCUAACUCUGUGCCAGCAGCCGCGGUAAUACAGAGGUGGCAAGCGUUGUUCGGAAUCAUUGGGCGUAAAGAGCACGUAGGUGGGUUUGUAAGUCAGAUGUGAAAGCCUUCUGUUCAACGGAAGAAUUGCAUCUGAAACUACAAGUCUUGAGUGUAGGAGGGGAGAAUGGAACUUCUGGUGGAGCGGUGAAAUGCGUAGAUAUCAGAAGGAACGCCGGCGGCGAAAGCGAUUCUCUGGCCUAUUACUGACACUCAGUGUGCGAAAGCUAGGGGAGCAAACGGGAUUAGAUACCCCGGUAGUCCUAGCCGUAAACGAUGGGCACUAAGUAGAGG